GCCAAGUUUUUUGACGAAACAGAAAAUAAAACACAAACUUCAGUCUAGACACCCUAAGGAUCAUUCAGCUUAAGUUUGGUUGGAAUUGGUUCAAUGGUUUCAGAAAAAGAAGAUUUUUUAAAGUUAGAAAACAUGAUAAACAAAUUGUGUAAAAUUGUCCUUAAAGGGCAAUAACUCUUUAAGGGGUCAAUUAACAAUUUUGGUCGUAUAAACUUGUUUGUAGAUCUUUCUUUGCUGAACAUAUUUGCUGUUUACACUUUAUCUUUAUCAUUAAUA
This 276-nucleotide long non-coding RNA is filed under the name Mytilus galloprovincialis (Mediterranean mussel). Lineage: Eukaryota; Metazoa; Mollusca; Bivalvia; Mytilida; Mytilidae. The record is from RNAcentral.